CGUACCUUUUGUAUAAUGGGUCAGCGACUUAUAUUCUGUAGCAAGGUUAACCGUAUAGGGGAGCCGAAGGGAAACCGAGUCUUAACCGGGCGUUAAGUUGCAGGGUAUAGACCCGAAACCCGGUGAUCUAGCCAUGGGCAGGUUGAAGGUUGGGUAACACUAACUGGAGGACCGAACCGACUAAUGUUGAAAAAUUAGCGGAUGACCUGUGGCUGGGGGUGAAAGGCCAAUCAAACCGGGAGAUAGCUGGUUCUCCCCGAAAGCUAUUUAGGUAGCGCCUCGUGAAUUCAUCUCCGGGGGUAGAGCACUGUUUCGGCUAGGGGGCCAUCCCGGCUUACCAACCCGAUGCAAACUGCGAAUACCGGAGAAUGUUAUCACGGGAGACACACGGCGGGUGCUAACGUCCGUCGUGAAGAGGGAAACAACCCAGACCGCCAGCUAAGGUCCCAAAGUCAUGGUUAAGUGGGAAACGAUGUGGGAAGGCCCAGACAGCCAGGAUGUUGGCUUAGAAGCAGCCAUCAUUUAAAGAAAGCGUAAUAGCUCACUGGUCGAGUCGGCCUGCGCGGAAGAUGUAACGGGGCUAAACCAU
Molecule: ribosomal RNA, 589 nt
Filed under: Salmonella enterica
Lineage: Bacteria; Pseudomonadati; Pseudomonadota; Gammaproteobacteria; Enterobacterales; Enterobacteriaceae
Also listed under: 1 other name
Description: partial 23S ribosomal RNA
Rfam family: Bacterial large subunit ribosomal RNA
Source: RNAcentral